This is a small nuclear RNA of Varanus komodoensis (Komodo dragon), 111 nucleotides long. Its record names the gene U5. It matches the Rfam family "U5 spliceosomal RNA". From Rfam's summary of the family: U5 RNA is a component of both types of known spliceosome. The precise function of this molecule is unknown, though it is known that the 5' loop is required for splice site selection and p220 binding, and that both the 3' stem-loop and the Sm site are important for Sm protein binding and cap methylation. Lineage: Eukaryota; Metazoa; Chordata; Lepidosauria; Squamata; Varanidae. The record is from Ensembl.
ACUCUUCUUUUUCUUCAGAUCGUGUAAAUCUUUUGUCUUUUACUAAAGAUUUCCAUGGAAGAUGUGGAGAACUUUGGUGAACUUGAGUUUUGCUGAUUUUGCUCUCAGCAA